Molecule: transfer RNA, 71 nt
Filed under: Colwellia sp.
Lineage: Bacteria; Pseudomonadati; Pseudomonadota; Gammaproteobacteria; Alteromonadales; Colwelliaceae
Also listed under: 1 other name
Description: tRNA-Met
Rfam family: tRNA
About the family: Transfer RNA (tRNA) molecules are approximately 80 nucleotides in length. Their secondary structure includes four short double-helical elements and three loops (D, anti-codon, and T loops). Further hydrogen bonds mediate the characteristic L-shaped molecular structure. tRNAs have two regions of fundamental functional importance: the anti-codon, which is responsible for specific mRNA codon recognition, and the 3' end, to which the tRNAs corresponding amino acid is attached (by aminoacyl-tRNA synthetases). tRNAs cope with the degeneracy of the genetic code in two manners: having more than one tRNA (with a specific anti-codon) for a particular amino acid; and 'wobble' base-pairing, i.e. permitting non-standard base-pairing at the 3rd anti-codon position.
Source: RNAcentral
AGCAAGGUAAACUACUGGUAAGUUGUUAGACUCAUAAUCUAAAUAAGGCAGUUCGAUUCUGCCCCUUGUAA